This 68-nucleotide transfer RNA is filed under the name Labidostomis urticarum. RNAcentral's name for it is "tRNA-Ile". Lineage: Eukaryota; Metazoa; Arthropoda; Insecta; Coleoptera; Chrysomelidae. The record is from RNAcentral.
UAUAGGGUGCCUGAAAAAAAGGGUAAUUUUGAUAGAAUUAAUCAUGUGUCUACUACACCCCUAUAAAU